UGAUACGAAUUAGGGUUCCUAAGACAUGUAUAUAUAGUGCUUAAGACAUCUCUGGGCGUCACUUAGAGUUUCUUCAAAUGAAAGAAUCAUUUUGGGCUUCAGAAAUGGGCCUUCGGGCUCGGAGUUAGCUGGCUGCGGUCGGGAUGAGUGUGACCGCGGGAAAUGGGUGGCUGGCCGUGGUCGCAGUGCUUCUGACCGCAGGAAAUGCUCUGUUGGCCGCGGGUGGAAACGCUAGCCGGCUGGUUUAUGGGACAUCUUGCU
Molecule: long non-coding RNA, 261 nt
Filed under: Eutrema salsugineum
Lineage: Eukaryota; Viridiplantae; Streptophyta; Magnoliopsida; Brassicales; Brassicaceae
Description: long non-coding RNA (ESAL_LNC001257)
Source: RNAcentral